RNAcentral lists this ribosomal RNA (499 nucleotides) under uncultured bacterium. RNAcentral's name for it is "partial 16S ribosomal RNA". It matches the Rfam family "Bacterial small subunit ribosomal RNA", at positions 28 to 507 of the family's 1533-position model. The record is from RNAcentral.
GACGAACGCUGGCGGCGUGCCUAAUACAUGCAAGUCGAGCGGACCGAACAGGAGCUUGCUCUUGUUCGGUUAGCGGCGGACGGGUGAGUAACACGUGGGUAACCUGCCCGUAAGACCGGGAUAACUCCGGGAAACCGGAGCUAAUACCGGAUAACACCGAAGACCGCAUGGUCUUUGGUUGAAAGGCGGCUUCGGCUGCCACUUACGGAUGGGCCCGCGGCGCAUUAGCUAGUUGGUGAGAUAACGGCUCACCAAGGCGACGAUGCGUAGCCGGCCUGAGAGGGUGACCGGCCACACUGGGACUGAGACACGGCCCAGACUCCUACGGGAGGCAGCAGUAGGGAAUCUUCCGCAAUGGACGAAAGUCUGACGGAGCGACGCCGCGUGAGCGAAGAAGGUCUUCGGAUCGUAAAGCUCUGUUGUUAGGGAAGAAGAAGCGUCGUUCGAACAGGGCGGCGCGGUGACGGUACCUAACGAGAAAGCCCCGGCUAACUACGUG